GUGGGGAAUAUUGGACAAUGGGCGAAAGCCUGAUCCAGCCAUGCCGCGUGUGUGAAGAAGGUCUUCGGAUUGUAAAGCACUUUAAGUUGGGAGGAAGGGCAGUAAGUUAAUACCUUGCUGUUUUGACGUUACCGACAGAAUAAGCACCGGCUAACUUCGUACCAGCAGCCGCGGUAAUACGAAGGGUGCAAGCGUUAAUCGGAAUUACUGGGCGUAAAGCGCGCGUAGGUGGUUCAGCAAGUUGAAGGUGAAAUCCCCGGGCUCAACCUGGGAACUGCCUCCAAAACUACUGAGCUAGAGUACGGUAGAGGGUAGUGGAAUUUCCUGUGUAGCGGUGAAAUGCGUAGAUAUAGGAAGGAACACCAGUGGCGAAGGCGACUACCUGGACUGAUACUGACACUGAGGUGCGAAAGCGUGGGGAGCAAACAGGAUUAGAUACCCUAGUAGUCC
RNAcentral lists this ribosomal RNA (450 nucleotides) under uncultured bacterium. RNAcentral describes it as "partial 16S ribosomal RNA". It matches the Rfam family "Bacterial small subunit ribosomal RNA", at positions 354 to 796 of the family's 1533-position model. The record is from RNAcentral.